GCUAGCUACAGGCUUAACACAUGCAAGUCGAGGGUUAGCAUGGUCUUAGCUUGCUAAGGCCGAUGGCGACCGGCGCACGGGUGAGUAACACGUAUCCAACCUGCCGUCUACUCUUGGACAGCCUUCUGAAAGGAAGAUUAAUACAAGAUGGCAUCAUGAGUCCACAUGUUCACAUGAUUAAAGGUAUUCCGGUAGACGAUGGGGAUGCGUUCCAUUAGAUAGUAGGCGGGGUAACGGCCCACCUAGUCUUCGAUGGAUAGGGGUUCUGAGAGGAAGGUCCCCCACAUUGGAACUGAGACACGGUCCAAACUCCUACGGGAGGCAGCAGUGAGGAAUAUUGGUCAAUGGGCGAGAGCCUGAACCAGCCAAGUAGCGUGAAGGAUGACUGCCCUAUGGGUUGUAAACUUCUUUUAUAAAGGAAUAAAGUCGGGUAUGCAUACCCGUUUGCAUGUACUUUAUGAAUAAGGAUCGGCUAACUCCGUGCCAGCAGCCGCGGUAAUACGGAGGAUCCGAGCGUUAUCCGGAUUUAUUGGGUUUAAAGGGAGCGUAGAUGGAUGUUUAAGUCAGUUGUGAAAGUUUGCGGCUCAACCGUAAAAUUGCAGUUGAUACUGGAUAUCUUGAGUGCAGUUGAGGCAGGCGGAAUUCGUGGUGUAGCGGUGAAAUGCUUAGAUAUCACGAAGAACUCCGAUUGCGAAGGCAGCCUGCUAAGCUGCAACUGACAUUGAGGCUCGAAAGUGUGGGUAUCAAACAGGAUUAGAUACCCUGGUAGUCCACACGGUAAACGAUGAAUACUCGCUGUUUGCGAUAUACAGCAAGCGGCCAAGCGAAAGCGUUAAGUAUUCCACCUGGGGAGUACGCCGGCAACGGUGAAACUCAAAGGAAUUGACGGGGGCCCGCACAAGCGGAGGAACAUGUGGUUUAAUUCGAUGAUACGCGAGGAACCUUACCCGGGCUUAAAUUGCAGAUGAAUUACGGUGAAAGCCGUAAGCCGCAAGGCAUCUGUGAAGGUGCUGCAUGGUUGUCGUCAGCUCGUGCCGUGAGGUGUCGGCUUAAGUGCCAUAACGAGCGCAACCCUUGUUGUCAGUUACUAACAGGUCAUGCUGAGGACUCUGACAAGACUGCCAUCGUAAGAUGUGAGGAAGGUGGGGAUGACGUCAAAUCAGCACGGCCCUUACGUCCGGGGCUACACACGUGUUACAAUGGGGGGUACAGAGGGCCGCUACCACGCGAGUGGAUGCCAAUCCCAAAAACCUCUCUCAGUUCGGACUGGAGUCUGCAACCCGACUCCACGAAGCUGGAUUCGCUAGUAAUCGCGCAUCAGCCACGGCGCGGUGAAUACGUUCCCGGGCCUUGUACACACCGCCCGUCAAGCCAUGGGAGCCGGGGGUACCUGAAGUGCGUAACCGCGAGGAGCGCCCUAGGGUAAAACUGGUU
RNAcentral lists this ribosomal RNA (1434 nucleotides) under uncultured organism. RNAcentral describes it as "SSU rRNA". It matches the Rfam family "Bacterial small subunit ribosomal RNA". The record is from RNAcentral.